This 85-nucleotide transfer RNA is filed under the name Methanobacteriota archaeon. RNAcentral's name for it is "Euryarchaeota archaeon tRNA-Leu". It matches the Rfam family "tRNA". Rfam says of the family: Transfer RNA (tRNA) molecules are approximately 80 nucleotides in length. Their secondary structure includes four short double-helical elements and three loops (D, anti-codon, and T loops). The record is from RNAcentral. Lineage: Archaea; Methanobacteriati; Methanobacteriota.
GCAGGGGUCGCCCAGCCUGGUCAACGGCGCUAGGUUGAGGGCCUAGUCCUUUAGAGGUUCGUGGGUUCAAAUCCCACCCCCUGCA